UUUAUGUAGUUGCUGUUAAGUUGAUUCAACUCAUCGACUAGCAUGAGCCGUCAUGUUAAUCUUUUGUGCAAAUCCAGCGUUGAAUUGAUCAUCAUUUGUAAAGCAAUCUGCCGUAAAAUGAUGGCAUGGCAACAACACUCUACUACAACAACUCUUCCUCUUCUCUAAAGCAGCCCAACAUGGUGUUCUCGGGGGCAGGGUUUAUGUAAAUUUUAGUUUAACCCGGGAAGAAGCUUGUUUAGUCCAUACCAGCCAUUUGUUGUAGACGUUAAAAAGCGAUUUCUGUAAAAUAAAAUAUCUCCCUUUGCAUUGAACUUUGAGCUUCGUAACUUUGCAGAUGUUGUUUAUGCUCAAACAGCAACAUUACACACUAACUAAAGUUUAAAAGGUGAAAUCAUAAUCAACCACCCCUUUAAACAAAAAAAUAACUGUGGAAAUUCACUUAUUUCAUUAAUAAUGUUAAAAAUACUAUUGACAAAAUGCCUAUACUGCAUCUUUGAGACAUUGUCAUAUGAAGAACUAGUCACUAACUUGUCAGUUUUGUAGCCUAUACAUUAUCUUGCCAUUACCAGUGCCAUGCUUAAAUAUAUAAACGUGGUGUAGUUCAGGGUACAUGUACACAUCAACGAGGUACUAAAAACGGAAAACCAAAACCUGAGUGUUGGGGAAACCUAUUUAAAAACAGCCUCAUUUUGCAAUUCUGUUUAAGGUCACUAAUAGCCCAGACAACAUUAGUCUAGACAACUUUUUAGCAACGCUGCAUAGUAUUUCCAUAUCAGAGCACACGCAUUAAAGUACAGUAAGUUCCCUGAGUAAAGUUUACGCUCGUCAUUUGUUUUUUCCUGUACUAAUAACCAAAACCAUACCAGGGGCCCACAUUGAAGCAGCUAACCACAUAUGACUGCUAGUGUUAAAGCUGCGUUGAACUGAAACAUCAGAGCUCCUGCACGUACAAGAAAAAUAAGCUACAGUGUUGUCAGGUAAAAUUAAUUUGGUAACCCUUUAUUUUAAUGGUCCCUUUUGAACAUUCUGUUGACUAUAAGUAACUACAUGUCUACUAACUCUCAUUAGAGUAUUAGUAAACUGUCUCCUUAAAGUUGCAGUCCGUAACUUUUUUGGUUAAAAAUGAUCCAAAAUCAAUUUUUGAGCAAGUACAUAACCAGCCAGUGUUCAAACUAUCUCCUUACCUUAGCCCGAUUCACAACGGUAAGCUUGUAACAGUGGUGGACGAAGUACACAAAUCAAGUACUUGAGUAAAAGUACAGAUACGUGUCAUAAAAUAUUACUAAGUGAAAGUUAUAAUAUAAGUGAAAGUAUUUAGUGCUCCUUUUCAAUUUUACUUGAGUGAAAGUACAAAAGUAUUUGAUUUUUAAUGUACUUAAGUAAAAAAGUACUGAUUGAUGAAUGUUUAUUUUGUAAUUUUAUAUAGGCUACUUAUAUAAUUUAAUUUUAUAUUAUAUAUUUUAUAUAAUCCUAUUGCUCAAAAUGAUUAUGAAUGAUAAUGAAUUGUCAAAUAGCCAGCAAUAGUCAGUAUGGAUGGAAGAUUAGUGGAUGCAGAUACAUAAUAUGUAAUGUGUGUUAACAAACAAUAUAAAAACAGACAAAACAUAUAGGGCUUAAUACAUAACAUUUUUAAAAAUUGCAACAGCAGCGGGGAACAUGAACGUGCAUGUGUUAUUUUAAUUAAAAGAUAAAAGGAUAAAAUGAGAAUCAAGAUUUAUUUUGUUUGUUUCAAAUAGAGAUCAUGAUUCUCCCAUGAUUCUGAAUAGACAACUAAACAAAAUUGCGUAUAAUUAUUUACUAGAGGACAAAAUAUUAAUUGCUGCAGUCUAUUUAAAAAUAUUUAAUUAAUUCAUUUAAUGAAAUGGGUUUGAAUGAAUGAUUUAAUGACUCACUCAUAACUACUUCACUUGUUUCAUUACUGGAUGAAUCAAUGUUUUUGAACAAAUCCUUUAAAUGAAUCAUUCAAUGUCAAAUACAUUUUAACAGACACUUGUCGCCUCCUAGUGUAAUCGAUACAACCGUUAUUUGAAGCGGCAAGUUAGGCUACGUCCACACGAAGCCAGAUCUUUACCCAUCCGAUCUUUUUUUUUCUUCCUCGCCUCAAGAAAUAUCUGCGUACACAUGAAACCACUGAAACGACUCAAAACGAUGUAGUAUACAUACCAGAUCAGUAUGUGGCGCUGUAAUUCUGCAAUAGAGAUACACUAAAAACAAAGAAUAAGACUUGGAGCAUGUGCAUAAACCUUGCGCGCUGUAUACACACUUUAGUAAUACUUAGAAAUAAAGCUUUAUUUUAAUAAAGCUUUAGGUGCGGUAGCUUCUGCAGCACGAACACACGCAUGUAGUACGCUAUUAUUGUUGUUGUUGCUGUUUUGUGCUGUUAGCGGUGACUGACUAGGGUUGACACGUGGGGUGAUAACAUCAUCCUUUCACAACAUAUACGGAUUGGCUGUACAAGGGCGCCGUUUUCAGAUUUAUCCACUCUGGGACCUGGUUUCAAAAAACAGCGGUUUUACCUUCCGAAAACGCCGGAUCCGUGUGGAUGAAACGCCCAUAGACAUUAUAAUAAACACUAGACGCCCUAUUGGCCUCUGGACUGUACGUCAACGGCGUCGCCAUAUUGUGUGGGGCAACGUUCCCAUAACACUCAUAACCAGUGUUGCCAGACGUACGAUAAUUAUCGUAUUUGUACGAUAAUUUUGACCUUUGUACGAUGUACGAUCAAUAAUGAAAAAAAUGUACGAUAAUUUCAGAAUUUUGUUACACUUCAAAUGAUGGUCGUUAUAAUCAGCUUAUACUCAUUGAUCUAGCUGUGGAUCCUCUACGUCAUGAUUGUAAGGAGAACGUGAACGUUGUACGGCAUGUCUUCCAUCUCAUCUCACGUUACGUCUUCUCGGCCAAUCAUCGUGGAGAAUGACAGAAUGACUCUCUCUCACGAGCACGAGUUAACAUUCCUGCCGCAGCGCUUUUAGGUCAGUUGUUUCCCACUGAGGUACGCCUAGUUAUUUAUCUAUUGUGGUAAUUAUUGUGGUAAUUUGCAGGUCAUGUCAAAAAGUUGUUGGUCUAGAUAAAUAGUUGUAUUCUGUACGUUUGACUCGUCAUGUCACCUUUAUUUAGGCUAUAUAGUGCUUUUUACAAUGCCGAUUGUGUCAAAGUAGGCUAUAGCUUUACAGAGAUAGAGGGAACAUCAUUUUGGCUGUACAGCAGCUAAAAUAGUGUGAUUGUCCACCCUAAGUAAGUUCAGUAUUGAUUCAUUCUGUUGUAAAAAUCGUUAGUUAGUUCAUUUACCUAUACUAAAAACUCGUGUACGAUCAUUUUCUUCCAAAUACGAUAAUUUUGAGCUUCUGGUACGAUACUUGGACAUUUCCAAUCUGGCAACACUGCUCAAAACUGGAAUUAAGAAAAAUGCCUGCCUCGUGUGCUGCUUGGGGGUGUACAAAUCGCUGCACAGUUGAAAAAAGGUCUCAGGGAAUGACCUUUCACAGCCCGUUGCAACCAGAGCUACACAAGCCACAAGGAAAGCUGAGGAGAGCCUGUCAGUGCACUGUUCUUACCAUUUCCAAGAGAUUGAUGGAAAAUAUAUAGCCUGUUGUUGUUGUUAUUAUUAUUAUACCAAUACUAUAUUAUUAUUGUACUAGUCACUAUUUAUUUUACUAUUUUUAUUAUUGUCUAUAUUAUUCUGCAAUUGAUAUUACAUUGUAUUUGCGAUUAUUAUUAUUAUACCAAUACUAUUAUAUUAUACCACUUGAGAUUAUCAAUCUUAUGCUGUUAUAUUAUUGUCUGUAUUCUGUAAAUGAUACUACAUAUUCUUAUUGUUAUUAUUAUAGUAUUAUUAUACUAUAUGCUAUUAUCAAUAUAUUAUUAUGAUAUUAUAUUAUUGUACUUAUACUAUUAUAUAAUCGUUCUAUUCAUUACUAUUUUAUUUGCUGUACACUGUUUGUUUAUUGACAAAAUUAUAUACUUUAUUAUUGACUAUAUUACUAUAUACUACAUAAACUAUUUCUUAUAUAUAGUGUAUAACAAACUAUUUACUAUUCUCACUUUCUUAUAUUUACUAUUUGCAUUGCACUGUAGUCGUACCAUGUCAUAUGUAUUACCAUAAAGGAUCCAUCAGUUAUUGGUGUUGUUGUAUGUUUUUGGAGUAUCUUUCUGUUAAUAUCUGUAACAUUUUAGUGCUAUAAAAAUACAGAAAGCA
Long non-coding RNA from Ctenopharyngodon idella (grass carp), 4198 nucleotides. RefSeq lists it as uncharacterized. The record is from RefSeq and is a predicted model, not a curated record. The transcript has 2 exons. Lineage: Eukaryota; Metazoa; Chordata; Actinopteri; Cypriniformes; Xenocyprididae.